UGAGCUCAAAUUUAAAAUCUGGCGUCUUUCAGGCGUCCGAGUUGUAAUCUAUAGAGGCGUUUUCCGCGCCGGACCGCGUCCAAGUCUCUUGGAAUAGAGUAUCAAAGAGGGUGACAAUCCCGUACUUGACGCGACAACCGGUGCUCUGUGAUACGUUCUCAAUGAGUCGAGUUGUUUGGGAAUGCAGCUCUAAAUGGGUGGUAAAUUCCAUCUAAGGCUAAAUAUUGGCGAGAGACCGAUAGCGAACAAGUACCGUGAGGGAAAGAUGAAAAGCACUUUGGAAAGAGAGUUAAACAGCACGUGAAAUUGUUAAAAGGGAAACGAUUGAAGUCAGUCGUGUGAAAGGUAUUCAGCCGUCUCUGGCGGUGUAUUUGCCUUUCACGGGUCAACAUCAGUUUGAUCCGGUAGAAAAAGGCGGGAGGAAGGUGGCACCCUCGGGUGUGUUAUAGCCUCCUGUCAUAUGUGCCGGACCAGACUGAGGAACGCAGCUUGCCGCAAGGCCGGGGUUCGCCCACGUACAAGCUUAGGAUGUUGACAUAAUGGCUUUAAACGACCCGUC
Molecule: ribosomal RNA, 559 nt
Filed under: Vishniacozyma victoriae
Lineage: Eukaryota; Fungi; Basidiomycota; Tremellomycetes; Tremellales; Bulleribasidiaceae
Description: partial large subunit ribosomal RNA
Rfam family: Eukaryotic large subunit ribosomal RNA
Source: RNAcentral